This 249-nucleotide ribosomal RNA is filed under the name uncultured Actinomycetales bacterium. RNAcentral's name for it is "partial 16S ribosomal RNA". It matches the Rfam family "Bacterial small subunit ribosomal RNA", at positions 84 to 334 of the family's 1533-position model. Lineage: Bacteria; Bacillati; Actinomycetota; Actinomycetes; Actinomycetales. The record is from RNAcentral.
GGGGUGCUCGAGUGGCGAACGGGUGAGUAACACGUGAGUAACCUGCCCUUGACUUUGGGAUAACUUCAGGAAACUGGGGCUAAUACCGGAUAGGAGCUCCUGCUGCAUGGUGGGGGUUGGAAAGUUUCGGCGGUUGGGGAUGGACUCGCGGCUUAUCAGCUUGUUGGUGGGGUAGUGGCUUACCAAGGCUUUGACGGGUAGCCGGCCUGAGAGGGUGACCGGCCACAUUGGGACUGUGAUACGGCCCAG